RNAcentral lists this transfer RNA (76 nucleotides) under Betaproteobacteria bacterium. Its description in RNAcentral is "tRNA-Thr". It matches the Rfam family "tRNA". Rfam says of the family: Transfer RNA (tRNA) molecules are approximately 80 nucleotides in length. Their secondary structure includes four short double-helical elements and three loops (D, anti-codon, and T loops). RNAcentral also lists the same sequence under 4 other names. Lineage: Bacteria; Pseudomonadati; Pseudomonadota; Betaproteobacteria. The record is from RNAcentral.
GCUGUUGUAGCUCAGUUGGUAGAGCAACUGAUUCGUAAUCAGUAGGUCGGUGGUUCGAAUCCACUCAACAGCACCA